RNAcentral lists this ribosomal RNA (199 nucleotides) under uncultured bacterium. RNAcentral's name for it is "partial 16S ribosomal RNA". It matches the Rfam family "Bacterial small subunit ribosomal RNA", at positions 328 to 539 of the family's 1533-position model. The record is from RNAcentral.
ACGCUCGACACCUACGGGAAGGCAGCAGUGGGGAAUAUUGCACAAUGGGGGAAACCCUGAUGCAGCAACGCCGCGUGAAGGAAGACGGUUUUCGGAUUGUAAACUUCUGUUCUUAGUGAAGAUAGUGACGGUAGCUAAGGAGCAAGCCACGGCUAACUACGUGCCAGCAGCCGCGGUAAUCUGAGCGGGCUGGCAAGGC